GGAUACCCCGUUGAAAGACGGCCUAAUACCCGAUGUUGUCCACAUAUGGCAUCUGACGUGGACCAAAGAUUCAUCGGUGGAGGAUGGGGAUGCGUCUGAUUAGCUUGUUGGUGCGGGUAACGGCCCACCAAGGCGACGAUCAGUAGGGGUUCUGAGAGGAAGGUCCCCCACAUUGGAACUGAGACACGGUCCAAACUCCUACGGGAGGCAGCAGUGAGGAAUAUUGGUCAAUGGACGUAAGUCUGAACCAGCCAAGUAGCGUGCAGGAUUGACGGCCCUAUGGGUUGUAAACUGCUUUUGUUGGGGAGUAAAGUGAGGCACGUGUGCCUUUUUGCAUUUACCCUUCGAAUAAGGACCGGCUAAUUCCGUGCCAGCAGCCGCGGUAAUACGGAAGGUCCAGGCGUUAUCCGGAUUUAUUGGGUUUAAAGGGAGUGUAGGCGGUCUGUUAAGCGUGUUGUGAAAUUUAGGUGCUCAACAUCUACCUUGCAGCGCGAACUGGCGGACUUGAGUGCACGCAACGUAUGCGGAAUUCAUGGUGUAGCGGUGAAAUGCUUAGAUAUCAUGACGAACUCCGAUUGCGAAGG
This 584-nucleotide ribosomal RNA is filed under the name uncultured Bacteroidales bacterium. RNAcentral describes it as "bacterial SSU rRNA". It matches the Rfam family "Bacterial small subunit ribosomal RNA", at positions 141 to 721 of the family's 1533-position model. Lineage: Bacteria; Pseudomonadati; Bacteroidota; Bacteroidia; Bacteroidales. The record is from RNAcentral.